RNAcentral lists this ribosomal RNA (143 nucleotides) under Sticta cinereoglauca. RNAcentral describes it as "partial 26S ribosomal RNA". It matches the Rfam family "Eukaryotic large subunit ribosomal RNA", at positions 1 to 143 of the family's 3401-position model. Lineage: Eukaryota; Fungi; Ascomycota; Lecanoromycetes; Peltigerales; Lobariaceae. The record is from RNAcentral.
UUGACCUCGGAUCAGGUAGGGAUACCCGCUGAACUUAAGCAUAUCAAUAAGCGGAGGAAAAGAAACCAACAGGGAUUGCCUCAAUAACGGCGAGUGAAGCGGCAACAGCUCAAAUUUGAAAUCUGGCCUCUUGGCGUCCGAGU